This 16-nucleotide small RNA is filed under the name Arabidopsis thaliana (thale cress). Its description in RNAcentral is "ATSL046960". The record is from RNAcentral. Lineage: Eukaryota; Viridiplantae; Streptophyta; Magnoliopsida; Brassicales; Brassicaceae.
AUUUUCUCUCUGUUUU